UACAGAGGGUGCAAGCGUUGUUCGGAAUUACUGGGCGUAAAGCGCGCGCAGGCGGUCUUCCAAGUCAGUGGUGAAAGCCCGGAGCUCAACUCCGGAACUGCCAUUGAAACUGUAAGACUUGAGGAUGAGAGAGGUGAGUGGAAUUCCCAGUGUAGAGGUGAAAUUCGUAGAUAUUGGGAAGAACACCGGUGGCGAAGGCGGCUCACUGGCUCAUAUCUGACGCUCAGGCGCGACAGCGUGGGGAUCAAACAGG
This 253-nucleotide ribosomal RNA is filed under the name uncultured bacterium. RNAcentral describes it as "partial 16S ribosomal RNA". It matches the Rfam family "Bacterial small subunit ribosomal RNA", at positions 524 to 776 of the family's 1533-position model. The record is from RNAcentral.